GACGAACGCUGGCGGCGCGCCUAACACAUGCAGGUCGAACGAGCGAGAGAGAGCUUGCUUUCUCGAGCGAGUUGCGAACGGGUGAGUAACGCGUGAGGAACCUGCCUCAACGAGGGGGACAACCGUUGGAAACGACUGCUAAUACCGCAUAAGCCCACGACCCGGCAUCGGGUAGAGGGAAAAGGGGCAAUCCGCUUUGAGAUGGCCCCGCGUCAGAUUAGCUAGUUGGUGAGGUAACGGCCCACCAAGGCGACGAUCGGUAGCGGGACUGAGAGGUUGAACGGCCACAUUGGGACUGAGACACGGCCCAGACUCCUACGGGAGGCAGCAGUGGGGAAUAUUGCACAAUGGGGGAAACCCUGAUGCAGCGACGCCGCGUGGAUGAAGAAGGUCUUCGGAUUGUAAACUCCUGUUGUUGAGGAUGAUAAUGACAGUACUCAGCAAGGAAGUUACGGCUAACUACGUG
Molecule: ribosomal RNA, 466 nt
Filed under: uncultured bacterium
Lineage: Bacteria
Description: partial 16S ribosomal RNA
Rfam family: Bacterial small subunit ribosomal RNA
Source: RNAcentral